RNAcentral lists this ribosomal RNA (468 nucleotides) under uncultured bacterium. Its description in RNAcentral is "partial 16S ribosomal RNA". It matches the Rfam family "Bacterial small subunit ribosomal RNA", at positions 28 to 507 of the family's 1533-position model. The record is from RNAcentral.
GACGAACGCUGGCGGCGUGCUUAACACAUGCAAGUCGAACGGAAAGGCCCUGCUUUUGUGGGGUGCUCGAGUGGCGAACGGGUGAGUAACACGUGAGUAACCUGCCCUUGACUUUGGGAUAACUUCAGGAAACUGGGGCUAAUACCGGAUAGGAGCUCCUGCUGCAUGGUGGGGGUUGGAAAGUUUCGGCGGUUGGGGAUGGACUCGCGGCUUAUAAGCUUGUUGGUGGGGUAGUGGCUUACCAAGGCUUUGACGGGUAGCCGGCCUGGGAGGGUGACCGGCCACAUUGGGACUGAGAUACGGCCCAGACUCCUACGGGAGGCAGCAGUGGGGAAUAUUGCACAAUGGGCGGAAGCCUGAUGCAGCAACGCCGCGUGCGGGAUGACGGCCUUCGGGUUGUAACCCGCUUUCGCCUGUGACGAAGCGUGAGUGACGGUAAUGGGUAAAGAAGCACCGGCUAACUACGUG